CCUACGGGUGACAGCAGUGAGGAAUAUUGGUCAAUGGCCGGAAGGCUGAACCAGCCAAGUCGCGUGAGGGACGACUGCCCUAUGGGUUGUAAACCUCUUUUAUAGGGAAGAAUAAAUGCUACGUGUAGCAUGAUGCCUGUACCUUUUGCAUAAGCAUCGGCUAAUUCCGUGCCAGCAGCGGCGGUAAUACGGAGGAUGCGCGCGUAAUCCUGAUUUUUUGGUGUAAAAGGGUGAGUAGGCGGUUUGUAACGUUAAUGGUUAAACGUCGGGGUUUCACCUUGAGUUGCCAUUAAUACUGUAAGACUCGAGUUCAGACGAGGUAGGCAGAAUAAGAGAAGGAGCGGUGAAAUGCUUAGAUAUAACUUAGAACACCGAUAGCGAAGGCAGCUUACCAGACAGCGACUGACGCUGAAGUACGAGAGCGUGGGUAGCGAACAGGAUUAGAUACCCCUGUAGUC
Molecule: ribosomal RNA, 458 nt
Filed under: uncultured bacterium
Lineage: Bacteria
Description: partial 16S ribosomal RNA
Rfam family: Bacterial small subunit ribosomal RNA
Source: RNAcentral